GUUGACGCCAGAUUUCGUCACUAGUAAAAUCAGCGCCAAGAAGAGAGGAAUUCGGGGAAGCACAGUUGGGAAUCGGCCAAAUGGUGCUAUAGUGCGGAAUCGGUCGGUGACUUUUGUCUCGCUUUAGGACGAAUGCACCAGAGUCCCAAUCGGUAAUCUUUUGCCGAUAAGGAAUCGGCCGAUUAGGAGGGUGGACUAAUUGGGCCUGUAUGGGCUUGGAAAGGAAUGGAAGGAUAAGGUGGAGGUUAGCCCACAAAGCGUGGAGUAACUAACCUAGCACGAAUUGUGCUUGUAGAUAUUCGUUUUCUGUUUGAAUUAGAGAUAGGAUUCUAGUCGGUUAAGGAAUUAUCUGUACGGGGCUAUAAAUAGCUACCUUUGUAAAUCUGUAAUCAUCAACCAAUCAAUACAACAAGCUACUUUUUUCCUAGUACUUACUUUCAAGCGACUUCGCUAUUGCUUUUCUCUUCCACGAGUUCGUGCGGGUUGGCAGGGCUGCAUCAUCUUGAUCUCCGGCCGAUUCUGUAAGUUCCGUUUAUCGAGUAAUAUCUAAGCUUUAACUCCGGGCGUAUCGCUGUUGUUUCGUUUAGAUUUAUUCACUAGUUAUCGAUAUUUGCUAGAUUCAUAGGUUUCUACCUGUUUUUCU
This 643-nucleotide long non-coding RNA is filed under the name Setaria viridis. Its description in RNAcentral is "long non-coding RNA (SVIR_LNC006421)". Lineage: Eukaryota; Viridiplantae; Streptophyta; Magnoliopsida; Poales; Poaceae. The record is from RNAcentral.